RNAcentral lists this ribosomal RNA (1465 nucleotides) under Klebsiella pneumoniae. RNAcentral describes it as "16S ribosomal RNA". It matches the Rfam family "Bacterial small subunit ribosomal RNA". The record is from RNAcentral. Lineage: Bacteria; Pseudomonadati; Pseudomonadota; Gammaproteobacteria; Enterobacterales; Enterobacteriaceae.
AUUGAACGCUGGCGGCAGGCCUAACACAUGCAAGUCGAGCGGUAGCACAGAGAGCUUGCUCUCGGGUGACGAGCGGCGGACGGGUGAGUAAUGUCUGGGAAACUGCCUGAUGGAGGGGGAUAACUACUGGAAACGGUAGCUAAUACCGCAUAACGUCGCAAGACCAAAGUGGGGGACCUUCGGGCCUCAUGCCAUCAGAUGUGCCCAGAUGGGAUUAGCUAGUAGGUGGGGUAACGGCUCACCUAGGCGACGAUCCCUAGCUGGUCUGAGAGGAUGACCAGCCACACUGGAACUGAGACACGGUCCAGACUCCUACGGGAGGCAGCAGUGGGGAAUAUUGCACAAUGGGCGCAAGCCUGAUGCAGCCAUGCCGCGUGUGUGAAGAAGGCCUUCGGGUUGUAAAGCACUUUCAGCGGGGAGGAAGGCGGUGAGGUUAAUAACCUCNUCGAUUGACGUUACCCGCAGAAGAAGCACCGGCUAACUCCGUGCCAGCAGCCGCGGUAAUACGGAGGGUGCAAGCGUUAAUCGGAAUUACUGGGCGUAAAGCGCACGCAGGCGGUCUGUCAAGUCGGAUGUGAAAUCCCCGGGCUCAACCUGGGAACUGCAUUCGAAACUGGCAGGCUAGAGUCUUGUAGAGGGGGGUAGAAUUCCAGGUGUAGCGGUGAAAUGCGUAGAGAUCUGGAGGAAUACCGGUGGCGAAGGCGGCCCCCUGGACAAAGACUGACGCUCAGGUGCGAAAGCGUGGGGAGCAAACAGGAUUAGAUACCCUGGUAGUCCACGCCGUAAACGAUGUCGAUUUGGAGGUUGUGCCCUUGAGGCGUGGCUUCCGGAGCUAACGCGUUAAAUCGACCGCCUGGGGAGUACGGCCGCAAGGUUAAAACUCAAAUGAAUUGACGGGGGCCCGCACAAGCGGUGGAGCAUGUGGUUUAAUUCGAUGCAACGCGAAGAACCUUACCUGGUCUUGACAUCCACAGAACUUUCCAGAGAUGGAUUGGUGCCUUCGGGAACUGUGAGACAGGUGCUGCAUGGCUGUCGUCAGCUCGUGUUGUGAAAUGUUGGGUUAAGUCCCGCAACGAGCGCAACCCUUAUCCUUUGUUGCCAGCGGUNCGGCCGGGAACUCAAAGGAGACUGCCAGUGAUAAACUGGAGGAAGGUGGGGAUGACGUCAAGUCAUCAUGGCCCUUACGACCAGGGCUACACACGUGCUACAAUGGCAUAUACAAAGAGAAGCGACCUCGCGAGAGCAAGCGGACCUCAUAAAGUAUGUCGUAGUCCGGAUUGGAGUCUGCAACUCGACUCCAUGAAGUCGGAAUCGCUAGUAAUCGUAGAUCAGAAUGCUACGGUGAAUACGUUCCCGGGCCUUGUACACACCGCCCGUCACACCAUGGGAGUGGGUUGCAAAAGAAGUAGGUAGCUUAACCUUCGGGAGGGCGCUUACCACUUUGUGAUUCAUGACUGGGGUGAAG